Molecule: long non-coding RNA, 1525 nt
Filed under: Aotus nancymaae (Ma's night monkey)
Lineage: Eukaryota; Metazoa; Chordata; Mammalia; Primates; Aotidae
Description: lncRNA (ENSANAG00000038838.1)
Source: RNAcentral
CUGGAGUAUGACUCUGGGUUCACCAACUCGGGGAUGGCCUGGGGAUUUAGGAGAUGGCAGCAAUGACUCUCUUCUUUUAUACAAAGGACUGUUCAAGCUAUUAGUGUGUGUGUGUGUGUGUGUGUGUGUGUGUGUGACAGGAUCUCGCUGUGUCACCCAGAUAGGGGAGCAGUGGCGUAAUCUUGGCUCACUGCAACCUUUGCCUCCCAGGCUCAAGUGAUCUUCCUGUUUCAGCCUCCUGAGUAGCUGGGACCAUAGGUGUCAGCCAUCACACCAGGCUAAUUUUUGUAUUUUCUUUGCAGAGACGGAGCUUCACCAUGUUUCCCAGGCUGGUCUUGAACUCCUGAGCUUAAGUGAUUUAUGUCUCUGCCUCCCAAAGAGUUGGGAUUACAGUUUGCGCCACCUCUGCCUAAGCAAUUCUGUCCAGAUCUUAAGACUACUUUUUGCUGGGAUUCAAACUCAGAUUUAUGUGGAGUCAACUAUAUGAGGCAUAACAAAUGAGACCCAAGUGCUCAUAGAACAUUGCAAAGAGUCAACAGAGAGAAGUGGAAACUAUUAGAAACAUGACUGUGUUUGCAAAGGAGACAUAAACAUGAAGGAAAAAAGGAGCAGAAAGAAGUGUGAUGUCAAAGUAGACAGUAUAAUUCAAAGUGUCUUGCGUCUGAGUGGAUUUAGGAAGGCAGAAACCCCCUCGUCUAUGUCCUUCCAGUCCCCAAAGACAGGUGGGAGCAUUGUUCCACUAGCAACUAUCACCCAAGGCAAACAGUUAAGACCAGAGGAUCUGAAUAAAAAAGUAGCAGGAUCCUUGCUCUGAUCUUUCCUGACGUUUCCCAAAUCCACAAGGCAGAGGGCAUGGUGCAGGGGUUGGAGAGUAAACUGUUCCAUACUCAGCCCUCACUGAGGAGCAAUGGCAAGCUAGUUUUUGCUAUCAGGUAAAGAAAUAAACACACAUACAUUGUGGGACUACUAUUUGAUUUGCCUGUGAGUUUAUUUUUAGUAAGCUUAUCAAAAACAUGUGUCUGCAAAGAGUAUUUAAGAGCACAGGUAUAAUAAAUAAUCAUAUAAUCGCAAAAAGCUGAGAUGCAAAUUUCUUUUGUUUGAUGCAUUUUUUAGAAAAGUGCUGUCAUUCUUCUAGAUUCUCCCAGUACAGUUGUUAUACAACAACUGAUUUAAUUCCUUUUAGGAUCAUGAAGUUGGUUGGAAGCCUGUUUAAGAUUAUGUUGCCUCCUCUUUUAAUUGUUGGUCAACAUUUUCAAAUAGAAUGCACUAUAUUAUGUGCCUGAUGACAAGCAAACUGCAUGUUUCUUAUAGAAUGGCUGGUUAGUUGUCUUUGUAAAACCAAAUAUCAUUCUCUGAAAAGCAGGUCAGGUAAUGCUAGCCUUAGUUAAUAGCUGUGGGUACCUUGAGUACUUCUCAAAUCAAUAAUGACAGAGGUAGCCUGAUAGCAAUUUAUGAACCACAGUCCUCUUGCGAAACAUAUUUCAAACCAUAACUUCAUCUAAACUGUUUAUCGGCUAAGCUUGCU